CAGACUCCUACGGGAGGCAGCAGUGAGGAAUAUUGGACAAUGGAGGCAACUCUGAUCCAGCCAUGCCGCGUGCAGGAAGACGGCCCUAUGGGUUGUAAACUGCUUUUAUACAGGAAGAAACGCCUCCUCGUGAGAUUGUUUGACGGGACUGUACGAAUAAGGAACGGCUAACUCCAUGCCAGCAGCCGCGGUAAUGAAAU
This 200-nucleotide ribosomal RNA is filed under the name uncultured Flavobacteriaceae bacterium. RNAcentral describes it as "partial 16S ribosomal RNA". It matches the Rfam family "Bacterial small subunit ribosomal RNA", at positions 332 to 531 of the family's 1533-position model. The record is from RNAcentral. Lineage: Bacteria; Pseudomonadati; Bacteroidota; Flavobacteriia; Flavobacteriales; Flavobacteriaceae.